This 450-nucleotide ribosomal RNA is filed under the name uncultured bacterium. RNAcentral describes it as "partial 16S ribosomal RNA". It matches the Rfam family "Bacterial small subunit ribosomal RNA", at positions 354 to 796 of the family's 1533-position model. The record is from RNAcentral.
GUGGGGAAUAUUGGACAAUGGGCGCAAGCCUGAUCCAGCCAUGCCGCGUGUGUGAAGAAGGUCUUCGGAUUGUAAAGCACUUUAAGUUGGGAGGAAGGGCAGUAAGUUAAUACCUUGCUGUUUUGACGUUACCGACAGAAUAAGCACCGGCUAACUUCGUGCCAGCAGCCGCGGUAAUACGAAGGGUGCAAGCGUUAAUCGGAAUUACUGGGCGUAAAGCGCGCGUAGGUGGUUUUGUAAGUUGGAGGUGAAAUCCCCGGGCUCAACCUGGGAACUGCCUCCAAAACUGCAUGACUAGAGUACGGUAGAGGGUAGUGGAAUUUCCUGUGUAGCGGUGAAAUGCGUAGAUAUAGGAAGGAACACCAGUGGCGAAGGCGACUACCUGGACUGAUACUGACACUGAGGUGCGAAAGCGUGGGGAGCAAACAGGAUUAGAUACCCGAGUAGUCC